Long non-coding RNA from Betta splendens (Siamese fighting fish), 4490 nucleotides. RefSeq lists it as uncharacterized. The transcript is spliced from 2 exons. Lineage: Eukaryota; Metazoa; Chordata; Actinopteri; Anabantiformes; Osphronemidae. The record is from RefSeq and is a predicted model, not a curated record.
GUUGCACGCGAAUAAUCUACAACGCGAUCAGCGCCGUCGAUGACACGCAGUCGCAAUAACAACACAACAUAAUAGAUGUGCAUUUACUCGCAUUUCCUGCCGCGUUACUCCUUGGACCGUUUGCAAACGUGUGCCGUGAGGCGUGCGUAGCGGAGGGGUGUGUCUACUCUGCAGUACGGUGGUAGGCUGGGAACCAAUGCCGCCGCAUGGUGAUGUUGCCAUACAUUUGCAAUGCAUGAGAGGAGGCCGAGUAUGCUCAAAAGUGGACGGCGACGCCAUUGCGCCGCGCGAUCGCAACGGGCGAGUGUUUUUUUCGCAUCACCAUUUACUCUGCUCUUCUACGAAACGACCUCAUUUUGCGGCCGCUCGCGUAGACGCCGCGUGUUCGUUCCAUGCGCACGUAGCAGGUCUGGUAUGUGGCGCUAGGGCCAGCGGAAGGGGCCUGGGUGAAGGUCAGGGGCGUGUCCAUAAUGUAAACACAGUAAAGACGACAAAUACCGAGGGGAGAGGGAAAGAGAGACGGGGAGGGCCUCAUCCGCUCCCAUGUGUUCUAGUUGUGAACUCCCACUGCACGCGGGCUGAAAAGGAUGAGCUGCACAGACUGCAAAGUGAAUUCACACCGUGACUUUGCCAGUUAUGAGAUACAAACACAGAUAAGAGCUGAUAAGAUAACACAUGUUUGAUAUUUAAGUUUUGCAAGAAAUCACUGGAAUCAGCAGCGCAUUAAGGGGCUUCAAACGCUAUUGGUCGAUAGAGCAAAUGACAGUGAGCACCACAAACGUGGAGGCGGCGGCCAUUGUUUAUCAGCGCCAACCUUUUUCACAAACUUCAAGAGCUGUGAAUCUGCGCCGUCCCUGCUUUUAAUAAAUGCGCCGGUAUUGUGCCGCACUGAUCUAACCGAUAGAACCAUGGAGCUACUGGACGUUAUUCACUGCCGUGCUUUCCAAACCCUCGGCCAGCGCUGCCUUGUCUCCAAAGUGACAUGAACGCUCGCAACAAACAUUCCCCAAAUAUUCCGCUGCAUUCCACGUCAGACCGUUUCUACAUGUCGUAGCCGCCAUGUGGCUAAAGAGAACAGGCCACGCGAGCAAUUGGGGCCGUAGCAUAAAACCCAUGUGUGGAGGCGCACCAGCUGCAAACUUAUUUGUGCUAGUUUUGCAUUAUGCCUCACCCCCCCCCCCCCUCGCAUUUAAAGCAAAGCAGCACCCAAGCAGUGUGUCAUAAUCUUAUUAACUGUUGAUUCAUGUCGAGUAACAGGUAGUAAAGUGUGUGGGUGUUAGGUCCAUGCUCACGGAGAGUUGAUCCUUGUCCUGUGGCUUGGGUGCUUUCCAAGUCUGGCACCAGCGCUGGAUCGAGCCGUCCACUAACAGGAUUUGUUUGGCUCCACAGCACCCAUGUCAGACAUGUAUUCUGGCCGAGCCAUUUUGUGUCCUCAGAUGCUCCGGCCCUUCACGGCGAGCUGGCGUGCACUUUGGAAAGUAGCACAGUGGAAAUCAUAAAUCAGAAGCACUUGACCCACUAAAAUUAUGGGAAUUAGUAUUUGUGGCAGUUGUGCAGGAACAUAAAUAACCCGAAUAGAGAGCUCGUACUGAGAAAGCUGUGGUCCUAAGAGCGGCCUGCUGUGCUGCACGCACGCACGCACACACGCACACACACACACACACACUAUGCAAUGUAUAUCUGACAGACAUACACAUGUUACAUCUGCAAUAAAGUAGCUGCAGAUGCGGAGUAUGCAUGUGGUUCAUUGUGUUAACAAAAUGUUAAUGUACAGUUUUUUUCAGAAGACAGUAAAAUACUCUGAGGACAAUUACUGAGCACGUCGUGCACGCGUCCUGAGGAUUCCAGUUCAAACCAACCAGCUCGCGUCGCGUCCGGAGCCGCUGUGAACGCAGCCCUCGCGCGCUGCAACCCACUCAGGCACCUGACAGCACGUCUGGCCACAUUGUGAAAGCAUGUGCCGAUCAGCUGGCAGAUGGACACGCUCGCUGUGUGCGCGCUCCAUUUUGCGUCGGCGCAGCACGAGGCUACGUGCGUUCCGUUGUUCGCUGCAUCGCCGGACAGCGGUGCAGCCUCUGUGGUGAAAUACGGUCUCAGUUUCUAACUUGUGAGGAUGCCGGCGCAUUGAACUCACGCCGCCGUAACAUUGACAUACGUAACUGCACCGCAUUUGUUUUUAUUCCCUCCACAUUGAAGCUCAGCACCGAGCCGGAGCAGCUGAACUGUAGAGUUUGCUGACAGAUCGCUGCUUAUGAAGACGGGCACUUCCUCCGUUUUUUUUCACUUCUUCACUGCAGACAGCCAAGACUGCGUGCUGAUCCCGUGCCAGUACUCUCUGAUCACACAUUAGUGUGCGGCACAGCCACAGACACAUUUGCUUUGUGAAUCACACCAGAUUCAUCAACAAAACAGCUCACUGAGUUUUCAUCAAGGAGGGAAAGUACAAUUAUUUUUUACUGUGCAAAUUAUAAAGGUCUGUAUUAGUAUAGUGGUAUAUUUGUUUUUGUGUAAGACAGUUACACACAUUAUAUAUUAUUUACAUUUUAAUAUAAAUUCAUACAAACAAAGCAGCUAGACCCUUUAAUCUAAUGCCAGGACAAAUAAUUCAAGGAGAUGAUUAUGGAUGUUGAGAAGUAGCAAAGCGAAGGAACCACCCUCAAGCUCAUCAAUAUGCCUCGAGGACGGGGAGUCAGCACUUUUAAGUUUCAUUGGCUCGGCAAUACGGAGCAAUGUUAACAUUCAGCAUGGCUCCACUGAUCCUAACAAUGUUCCAGGGCUGCAUCGCGCGUAUAUGAAGCAGCUGCGUCACCGUGUGGUGUCCAGUCGUCCUGUCACCCUGGACUAGAAGGCUGUGCAGCAGGCGACACUGAGAAAUCAUAAACUUCACGCAAUACAACUUUCCUCCGGAGACUACGGAGAAGACACGGGUCAUUAAACGCCCUCUGGCUCCAUCUUCUGGGGAGACGAGGGACAACACGACCUCCCACGACGGCGUUCUCAACUCUCAACUCAACUGUAUGUUUAAAGCACAUUAAACAUAGUUGGCCAAAGUGCUGCACACGGGCAAAACCAUCAACGAGCUAUUUAGUUAAAAGGAGCAAACACACAAAAUAAAUGUAAAACAAGGUAAAUAAAAAAACGACGACACGUACGUGUUUGUUUACUACACCGGAGCCCAGUUUGGACAGAAGAAGGCGAUCAUGAACACGUAAAUGGCUGAUAGCACAUCUAUAUUACAUACACUUAUAAUUGUAUUCAUACUUGUUUAUUUGCAACAAAUAAUUUUACCUGUGAUGUAAUUCGACCUUUAUUUUGAAAACAGGGCUUUUAUUUUGUACGCUGAAGCGUACAACUAGAGGUUAGCUAGCAGUAGCACUAAUGUUGGCUAUAAAUGACGCUUCACCAAACCACGUUGGUUUUUCAUCGGAUAAUUUAAUUACAGCAUGUCAGAUAAUGGUGAUCUUCUAUGCAUAGAUGUAGACUGUGUAAUGUUCGUAAGAGUGCUUGACUUGACGCUGGUGUGUCUCAACGCAUAGGCUACAGCGACUUACAUUAGCCCAUCGGAGUAAGCUAGGUUAGCUGUAUUUAGCUAACUAGUAUUGCCGACACGGGUACGUGGCAAUAGUUUAGUGUUUAUCAAAUGUAAUAGUGUGACAAAAAACAGAUACAUAAAAAACACACAUGACAACUACUUAAAUACAAUAAUACAGUAGUAUUGCGUAAACGAUAAAUUCUGUAGUGUGGGUUUCAUACGUAUGCCCGGUCCCAUGGUGUAAUGGUUAGCACUCUGGACUUUGAAUCCAGCGAUCCGAGUUCAAAUCUCGGUGGGACCUCGUCCUUUUACGUUCUAAAACGUUACACGUUACGUGUUCCUCCUUUUAUAUUUUUUAAAUAAAUCAAGUACAAACGCAAAGUGUGUGUCAUAUGUAAAAUCAAUUAUUUAUAAAUUCAUUUACAUUUCGCUACUAUUUGCAAUUAAAAUAAUUGCAAUUAAAAUAUUUGAAAAUUAAGCAUUUGUUCAUCAAUAAUAUAUAAAGCAAUAUAUUUAGCAUCUGACUAUAAAUCAUGAAGCAUACACUUAUUUUUGGUGUGAUUUUUUUAUUGAAAUGUCAAAUGACAUAUUUCAUUCUUUCCUAUCCACCUCAAAGACCAAAAUAUAUUACUUCUUUUUCCAUUAUGAAAAAUAAUAAUAUGUUGAAGUUGUCUAAAUAUUGUCUCAGUUUAUAGAAAACAUACUAAUUACAAACAAACAAGUAGUAACAAAACAUUAACCUUUAAAAUAGUUUUAAACAAAAAUGAAGUCUUUGGCUUCAAGUGGAAGAGAGUUAACUUAAGGUGUUGCCAGAAAUAUGAUUGGUAUUGGUAAAUAAUAUUAAUAGCUGAGUGAUAGUUAAAUAGAGUGUUAGUGUAAAGAAAAUCAUAUAUUAAUCAAAUAUCUACACUGGCUGUAUUUGUAGAUGAGAACUACAUGAUAGUUUUAGUUGCAUAUG